GAUGAACGCUGGCGGUAUGCUUAACACAUGCAAGUCGAACGGACUCUUCGGAGUUAGUGGCGGACGGGUGAGUAACGCGUGAGAAUCUGGCUUUGGGUUCGGGACAACCACUGGAAACGGUGGCUAAUACCGGAUGUGCCGAGAGGUAAAAGAGAAAUUGCCUGAAGAUGAGCUCGCGUCUGAUUAGCUAGUUGGUGAGGUAAAGGCUCACCAAGGCAGCGAUCAGUAGCUGGUCUGAGAGGAUGACCAGCCACACUGGGACUGAGACACGGCCCAGACUACUACGGGAGGAAGCAGUGGGGAAUGUUCCGCAAUGGGCGAAAGCCUGACGGGGCAAUACCGCGUGAGGGAAGAAGGCUCUUGGGUUGUAAACCUCUUUUCUUAGGGAAGAACAAAAUGACGGUACCUAAGGAAUCAGCAUCGGCUAACUCCGUG
RNAcentral lists this ribosomal RNA (435 nucleotides) under uncultured bacterium. RNAcentral describes it as "partial 16S ribosomal RNA". It matches the Rfam family "Bacterial small subunit ribosomal RNA", at positions 28 to 507 of the family's 1533-position model. The record is from RNAcentral.